ACACAUAGGCGGGGCGUCUUAGAAUGCAGUCGAGCGUGAAGCCCGCAAGGGUGAGUAAAGCGGCGAACGGGUGAGUAAUACUUGGGUAACAUCCCUCUUAGAUUGGGAUAACGCGCCGAAAGGCGUGCUAAUACCGGAUAAGACCACGACCCCUCCGGGGGUUGGGGUCAAAGAUGGCCUCUAUUUAUAAGCUAUCACUAGGAGAUUGGCUCAAGCACCAUUAGCUAGUUGGCGGGGUAACGGCCCACCAAGGCGACGAUGGUUAGCCGGCCUGAGAGGGUGAUCGGCCACACUGGGACUGAGAUACGGCCCAGACUCCUACGGGAGGCAGCAGUUUGGAAUAUUCCACAAUGGGCGAAAGCCUGAUGGAGCGACACCGCGUGAAGGACGAAGGUCUUCGGAUUGUAAACUUCUUUAGACCUAGAUGAAGACUUCAAGGUGAAUAAUCUUGAAGUUUGACAGUAUAGGUAGAAUAAGCCACGGCUAACUCUGUGCCAGCAGCCGCGGUAAUACAGAGGUGGCAAACGUUGUCCGGAUUUAUUGGGUGUAAAGGGCAUGUAGGUGGUUUUGUAAGUCAAAGGUGAAAUGGCCCGGCUCAACCAGGUCAUUGCCUUUGAAACUGCAGAGCUUGAGUACGGAAGAGGAAAGCGGAAUUCCCAGUGUAGCGGUGAAAUGCGUAGAUAUUGGGAGGAACACCGGUGGCGAAGGCGGCUUUCUGGUCCGAAACUGACACUGAGAUGCGAAAGCCAGGGGAGCAAACGGGAUUAGAUACCCCGGUAGUCCUGGCCGUAAACGAUGAGAACUAGGUGUUAGAGGUAUCCACUCCUCUAGUGCCGCAGUUAACGCAUUAAGUUCUCCACCUGGGGACUACGACCGCAAGGUUGAAACUCAAAGAAAUUGACGGGGGCCCGCACAAGCAGUGGAGCAUGUGGUUCAAUUCGACGCAACGCGAAGAACCUUACCUGGAUUUGACAUCCUCUGACCGCCUAUGAAAGUAGGUUUCCCCGCAGGGCAGAG
RNAcentral lists this ribosomal RNA (1017 nucleotides) under uncultured bacterium. RNAcentral describes it as "bacterial SSU rRNA". It matches the Rfam family "Bacterial small subunit ribosomal RNA", at positions 31 to 1031 of the family's 1533-position model. The record is from RNAcentral.